Molecule: transfer RNA, 84 nt
Filed under: Dallia pectoralis (Alaska blackfish)
Lineage: Eukaryota; Metazoa; Chordata; Actinopteri; Esociformes; Umbridae
Description: tRNA-OTHER
Rfam family: tRNA
About the family: Transfer RNA (tRNA) molecules are approximately 80 nucleotides in length.
Source: RNAcentral
GUCAGGAUGGCCGAGUGGUCUAAGGGGCCAGACUCAAGUUCUGGUCUCCAUAUGGAGGCGUGGGUUCAAAUCCCACUUCUGACA